RNAcentral lists this ribosomal RNA (466 nucleotides) under Fusarium oxysporum f. sp. cubense. RNAcentral's name for it is "eukaryotic LSU rRNA". The stretch from base 128 to 281 matches the Rfam family "5.8S ribosomal RNA". The record is from RNAcentral. Lineage: Eukaryota; Fungi; Ascomycota; Sordariomycetes; Hypocreales; Nectriaceae.
CCGCUGUGCACUACGACUGCGUCGCCGCUGCGGAACAGCCCGCUCCCGGUAAAACGGGACGGCCCGCCGAGGACCCCUAAACUCUGUUUCUAUAUGUAACUUCUGAGUAAAACCAUAAAUAAAUCAAAACUUUCAACAACGGAUCUCUUGGUUCUGGCAUCGAUGAAGAACGCAGCAAAAUGCGAUAAGUAAUGUGAAUUGCAGAAUUCAGUGAAUCAUCGAAUCUUUGAACGCACAUUGCGCCCGCCAGUAUUCUGGCGGGCAUGCCUGUUCGAGCGUCAUUUCAACCCUCAAGCAAAGCUUGGUGUUGGGACUCGCGUUAAUUCGCGUUCCUCAAAUUGAAUGGCGGUCACGUCGAGCUUCCAUAGCGUACUAUUAAAACCCUUCUUACUGGAAAUGGUCCGGGCCAACCCCUUAAACCCCCACUUGUUAAUUUUAACCUGGUAUGAGGAGUUGAAAACCCGCU